RNAcentral lists this ribosomal RNA (497 nucleotides) under uncultured bacterium. Its description in RNAcentral is "partial 16S ribosomal RNA". It matches the Rfam family "Bacterial small subunit ribosomal RNA", at positions 28 to 507 of the family's 1533-position model. The record is from RNAcentral.
GAUGAACGCUGGCGGCGUGCCUAAUACAUGCAAGUCGAGCGAACAGACGAGGAGCUUGCUCCUCUGACGUUAGCGGCGGACGGGUGAGUAACUCGUGGAUAACCUACCUAUAAGACUGGGAUAACUUCGGGAAACCGGAGCUAAUACCGGAUAAUAUAUUGAACCGCAUGGUUCAAUAGUGAAAGACGGUUUUGCUGUCACUUAUAGAUGGAUCCGCGCCGCAUUAGCUAGUUGGUAAGGUAACGGCUUACCAAGGCAACGAUGCGUAGCCGACCUGAGAGGGUGAUCGGCCACACUGGAACUGAGACACGGUCCAGACUCCUACGGGAGGCAGCAGUAGGGAAUCUUCCGCAAUGGGCGAAAGCUUGACGGAGCAACGCCGCGUGAGUGAUGAAGGUCUUCGGAUCGUAAAACUCUGUUAUUAGGGAAGAACAAAUGUGUAAGUAACUAUGCACGUCUUGACGGUACCUAAUCAGAAAGCCACGGCUAACUACGUG